This is a non-coding RNA of Malus domestica (apple), 5544 nucleotides long. The record is from RefSeq and is a predicted model, not a curated record. NCBI's taxonomy places the organism in Eukaryota, Viridiplantae, Streptophyta, Magnoliopsida, Rosales, Rosaceae.
UAUAUACCAAGAGAGAGUCCAUUGUCCAUACACUAAACCAUACUGCAUAUUCCAAUUAUCCGAGAGGCUUUUUUCUUUAGUUUAUGGUCUGGCUUUAAUUCUCCUAUGGCCAAUCAAAUUGUCCCUUCUUUACUAAAAGUUAAAACUCAGCGGAAGUUAACUGUUCAUUAACAGUGUUGCUGAGCAAAUUUUUUUGGUCUUCUGGAUUGUGCAGUGAUUUGGCAACUCUGCCCCUCUCUUUCGUGGUUGGCUCUUCGUCGUUCUUCACACCGAAGUCGCUGGAAGGGUUUGCAAUUGCCAUCGUUUUUUCUGCUUAUUUCUUUCCGUCUCUCUCUUCAAUCCGAUCUCAUCGCUUAGAAAUUUGGUUGUUCUGUUUGUUUCUGCCGUCUUCUGCAAACGAAUCGCGUCGUUUUAGAUGCGAUUCUUCAUCUGUUAUUUUACUUUUUGUUUGGUUAUCAAGAAAAUUUUCAAAUUCAUUUUUGUUAGAUUCAAGUCUUGGUCUUUCGCGUUGACUGAUUUCUUAUUUUUGGGCCGAUUACGUUGUUUAUUUCAGGAAAGAUUGGUCUUGCAAUUUUAGGGUUUUUGCUGCCGCGUGUUUGCAGGCCCUUUUCCAAUUAAGAUCUUCAUCUGUUCCUUCCAUUUACACAAGCUCUUAGCCGUUGGUCUGAUUCCGCGUCCCGUACAUAAAGCAUUCAACUUUCCAGAUUAAUAUCAGCGUAAAAAAAAAAAAAUUCUGCGAAUUUGGAUUCCAAUUCUUCUGCACCUCAUCUAUCAAACUGAUUGGUCAUUCUAUAUAUUUGAAACUGCUUGGUAGGUAGGGAGAAAAGCAUGAGGACUAACAUGACAAAGAGAGAGUCCACAUUCACAUUGAAGGUGGAGGAAACUGCUGAUUCCUACAUAGCAAGAUAAGUAUGCAUAGCAAGAGCGAAGUCUUGACACGAAUACCAGUCCAGAAUCCACAAUCAAUCCUUUGAAAGGUUCUUUAGUUUACCUGGAUUUCUCCAAUGAAUAAUCAACUUGUCCCCUGCUCCUCUUCCUCUUCUUCUACCUUUUGUAUCGAUAGUACUCCUUCGUGGAGAUAUGAUGUCUUUUUGAGCUUUAGAGGAGAGGAUACACGCACCACUUUUACAGAUCAUUUAUACAAGGCGUUGGUCGACAAGGGAAUCCACACCUUCAUUGAUCGCCAACUUGUAAGAGGAGAAGAAAUAUCACCAGCGCUCCUCCAAGCAAUUGAAGAGUCAAGAAUUUCUCUCGUCAUAUUCUCUAAAACCUAUGCAGCUUCAAGGUGGUGCUUGGACGAGCUCGUCAAGAUUCUUCAAUGUAGACAGUCAAAGCAACAAAUAGUUUUGCCAGUUUUUUAUAAGGUGGAUCCGUCCCAUGUACGAAAUCAAACGAGUAGUUUCGGUGACGAGUUCAAAAAACUUGAGUGCAAAUUCGAGGACAAUAAGGAGAAGAUCCUCGCAUGGAGGAGUGCUCUUAGAGAAGCAGCAAAUUUGUCAGGACAUCCUCUCAAGGAAGGAGACUAUGAAGCUACGUUAAUCGGCAACAUUGUUGAGGAUAUCUUACUCAAAGUACUUGAUGGCACAUAUUUGGAUGUGGCCAAAUACCCGGUUGGAAUACAAUCUUGCGUACAAGAGGUGAAAUAUCUUUUAGGUGCUGAUGGAAAUGGUCGUCGUGUGGUUGGGAUUUGGGGGACAUCUGGAAUAGGCAAGACAACAAUUGCAAGAGCGGUUUAUAAUGCAAUUGCUCGCAAGUUUCAAGUUUGUUGUUUCCUGGCAGAUGUUAGAGAAACAUUGACAUCACUUGAAGGCCUAAUCCAACUACAAAAGACUUUUCUAUCUAAAAUUCUACGUGGCACAAAGUUGGAAAUUGUCGGUGUUCAUGAUCGAAUCGGACUUAUAAAGAAACUGUCGAGGCAAAUGAAGAUUCUCUUAAUUCUUGAUGAUGUGGAUCAAUUGGAGGAGCAGAUAAAAAACUGGGUUGAUGUCGAUUGUUUCGGUGAGGGUAGCAGGGUGAUCAUAACCACAAAAGAUAGAAGUUUGCUAGAUUUUUAUGGAGGCCAGUGGAUAUAUGAAGUCAAAAUGUUAGAAGACGACAAAGCACUUGAGCUUUUUAGUUUGAAUGCUUUCGAAAGAAAUAGACCUCCAGAUGAUUAUAUGAGCCUCGCACGACGUGCAAUAGCCUAUGCUCAAGGCCUUCCGUUGGCUCUUAAUAUUAUAGGUACUCAUUUGCGUAAUAAACGUAUAGAUCGUUGGCAAGAUAUAUUGGAUGGUUACGUUUCUUACCAUGGAGAACCUUAUACAAUUAUUGAAAAAAUACUUCGAAAAACUUAUAAUGCAUGGGAUUUUGGCCUGCAACAAGUUUUCCUAGACAUUGCAUGUUUCUUUAAGGGUGAAGAUAAAGACUACGUGUUACAAAUAUUGAGAAGUUCGACGCUCAAUGUACGUGAAGAUUGUAUUGAAGUACUCGUUGAGAAAGCCAUUAUAACUAUUGAACAUGAUCGGAUUUUGAUGCAUGACUUGCUACAAAAAAUGGGUAAGCAAAUAGUUUACGAAGAAUCUCCCACUGAACCAGGCAAGCGGAGCAGGCUGUGGUUUUAUGAAGAUGUGUACAAUGUUCUAACUGAAAACCAAGGAACAGAGAAAAUUAGACGUAUUGUGGUGGAGUCGCUCAAAUCAGAUGUGAAUGUGAUACCCUUGAAUCCAGAAAGCUUCUUGGGGAUGGUAAAACUUGAAAUUUUUAUAAACCGUAAUGCACAAUUUUCUGGACGCGUUGAUUAUUUGCCCAACAGUUUAAGGUGGAUUGACUUGGGUGAACCAUUCAUUAAACAUACGGUUGUGCUCAAUUUGUCAUCCAAUUUUCAUCCAAGAAAUCUUGUUUGUUUUGAUGUGCCACACUGUGGCAUAAGACAACUGAAGGAAUUUAAGGAUUUUGCAAAGCUUACACUGAUGAAUUUAAGUGGUUGCGAAUUUUUGGAAAAAAUUCCUGACUUAUCCGGAAGCACAAACAUAAGGAAGUUGGAUCUAAGUGGCUGCACAAGUUUGGUCGAGGUUGAUGAUUCAGUUGGAUUCCUCGAUAAACUUGAAGAAUUGAGUCUUAGUGGGUGCUCUAAGCUUACGAGGUUUGCAACAAGACUUGGAUUGAGAUCCCUUCAAGAGCUUGAUCUCGAAGGUUGCACAAGGCUGGAGAGAUUUCCAGAAAUAGAGAAGGACAAGAUGAAAUCUCUGACGUAUUUGAAUAUAGGAAAAAGUGGCAUAAGAGAAUUGCCUUCAUCAAUUGCGUAUCUUGUUGGGCUUACGUACUUGAAGGCACAUGGUUGUGAGUUGCAAAAUGUCCCCGAGUUAUCCGGAAGCAUAGAGUACUUGGAUCUUAGUGGGUGCUCUAAGCUUACGAGGUUUGCAACAAGACUUGGAUUGAGAUCCCUUAUAGAGCUUGAUCUUUCUGGUUGCACAAGUUUGGAGAGAUUUCCAGAAAUAGAGAAGGACAAGAUGAAAUCUCUGUCGUAUUUGGAGAUGGGAAAAACUGGCAUAACAGAAUUGCCUUCAUCAAUUGCGUAUCUUACUGGGCUUAUAGACUUGAAUGCAAAUGGUUGUGAGUUGCAAAAUGUCCCCGACUUAUCCGGAUGCCCAAACAUAGAGCACUGGGAUCUAAGUGACUGCACAAGUUUGGUCGAGGUUCAUGAUUCAGUUGGAUUCCUUGAUAAACUUCAAAAUUCUCUCCCUCUCGGAGGUUGCAGAAGGCUCGAGAGUUUCCCAGAAAUAGAGGGAAAGAAGGCUCGGAGGUUACAGCUGUCUCUUAAUCUUUCCGGAUGCAAAUUAUCAGAAAGUGAUUUCCUUGUGCCUCUUGAUUGCUGGUCCGAAUUAAGAGAACUUAAUCUGUCGAGAAACAAUUUUGUUAGCCUUCCGGAUUGUAUUAGCGAAGCUGUCAACUUGAAGACAUUUGACUUGAGGGAUUGCAAGACGCUUCGGGAAAUUCCAGUCCUUCCACCAAAACUAGAAUCGUUACAUCUGGAUGAUUGCACAUCAUUGGAGAAAAUUCCAAAACUGCCCCCGAGGCUUAGGCUUCUUGACCUGUCUAACUGCUCUAGACUAAGUGGUGAUGAGGUGGCAAAGUUGUUAGCGGCAAAGUUGGAAAACGAGUGGUUGAAUGAGGAAAUUGGUCCGCGCUCUCAAUUGAACAUUAUUUACCCAGGAAAUGAAAUUCCAAAGUGGUUCAGCUAUACCUCUAACCAUCCCACAACCAUUCAACCUCCACUAAAACAUCCACGGGAUGUAUAUGACAGUGAAUUUCGUUUUGAAAUUCCUCUAAAAUUACAAGUGGGGGAGACGUUAACUGGAUUGUUGGCUGUAUCUUUUGUUCUUGAACCAUCGACUACCCCAAUGCUUUUUAUCAUCAUUUUAAGGAGCUAAAGGCAACUCAUGUGAUUGUUACGACAUUGAGUUUAUGGAAGAAGGAGAUGCAGGGAGAUAUUUGUCAAGUUGGAAUUCGUAUGUGCAAAGAGCGUCCCAUUAAACGCUGCGGCGUGCACUCCCUAUUGCGCAACCAAAACAGUGGAUCCUCACCUUCGGAGGAUGAGGAGGAUGAGGAGCAAGAGCAAGAGCAACCGUCCGACUCAAAUGUUCCUUUUGAUAUUGAGGAGGAUGAGGAGCAGCUUCACUUGCCUCUGAGACCACCGAGCAGUCUUGGGAAGAGGCCUCGUCCACGUGGAUCCUCAGAUAUCGUCGAUGAUGCAUAUGAUCAGCAACAGCAAUGGCUUUCCUCAUCUUCGGAGCCAGCAGAUGAUCAUCCAAAACGCAGACAGAUUGAUCUCAAUGUUCCUUUUGAUAUUGAGGAGGAUGAGAAGCAAGCAACCGACUGCUUCAGAUGAUCCGCAAUUUCUGAUUUCUUAGGAGUUUGGAACCGUGAUGGCUUUGUUAGGGGGGAAGGAGCUGGCGUUUUGCCUCUGGAAGAGUUAGAACAUGCUAAGUUGAGAGUGAACUCUACAAAAUCCAUGAUUGGUCACCUACUGGGAGCCUCUGGUGCUGUAGAAGCUGUUGCAGCAGUACAGUUCUUGACAUGUUAACUGGGCGGAUGCAUCCAAAUAUCAAUCUGGAAAAUCCAGAUGAGGGCGUGGAUACAAACUACUAGUGGGCCCAAAGAAAGAGAGACUGGACGUUAAGGUGGCAUUGUCUAACUCAUUUGGGUUCGGUGGCCACAACUCAUCGGUCUUGUUUGCCCCAUACAAGUAGAAACACAGAUCUACUGUGCUACUCCAACCUUUGCUGCAAUCGUACUGAAGGUAUGUUUGCGUACAGCCACCCUUUUGUUAGAACUUAAAAGGAAUCGUACUCAUCGGUCAUUGAAUCACUGCUACGGCAAUAGUUGCCUUGUUUGAUUUUGGUUUUCUUGUACAAGUAAUUGGCUGAUCAGAUAAUUGUAAUGAAAUUUAGUCCGCAGUUGGAUGACUUUACGUUCUUUGAGUUCCGACCUACUUGUAACUUCUUUCCAAAUUUUAAUUUUCAUAGAUAACUCUCAGUCAGGGAAACAGAAAUCCCCUUUGCUACA